Molecule: small nucleolar RNA, 134 nt
Organism: Carya illinoinensis
Lineage: Eukaryota; Viridiplantae; Streptophyta; Magnoliopsida; Fagales; Juglandaceae
Source: RefSeq, a predicted model, not a curated record
ACCAAUUCUGGGGAUAAAUGUUUCCUCCUGGUAUAAUGGCUCGGGCGCUAUAUUUAACGAUUGUGGCUAUCCUGAUCAAUGGUUGCUUUCAAUGCUUUCAAUGUCAUAUGAUCCCGGAAACACCACACACGUUA